Molecule: long non-coding RNA, 714 nt
Filed under: Homo sapiens (human)
Lineage: Eukaryota; Metazoa; Chordata; Mammalia; Primates; Hominidae
Description: non-protein coding lnc-FST-3:1
Source: RNAcentral
GCCUAAGCUGGAGUGCGGUGGCAUGAUUUCAGCUCACUGCCACCUCUGCCUCCCAGGUUCAAGCAAUUCUCCCACCUCAGCCUGCCGAGUAGCUGGGACUACAGGCUCAUGCCACCGUGCCCCACUAAUUUCUGUAUUUUUAGUGGAGACAGGGUUUUGCCACGUUGGCCAGGCUAGUCUCAAACUCCUGGGCUCAGGGGAGCCAUCCACCUCGGCCUCCCAAAGUGCUGAGAUUACAGGCAUGAGACACCAUGCCCAGCCAAAAAGAUUUUUUAAAUAACUUAAAAUUUUUAAAAAAUAGACACUUGGGUUGCUACCAUGUUUUAGCUAUUGUGAAUAGUGUUGUUAUGAACAUGAGUGUAUGGAUAUAUCUUCCAGACUGCUUUCAAAUCUUAAAUAUAUACUCAGAAGUUGGAUUGCCUGAUCAUAUGGUAAUUCUGUUUUUAAUUUUGGAGGAAUUGUUGUAGUGUUUUCCACAGCAGCUGUACCAUUUUACAUUGUUCCUAACAACAGUACACAAGGGUUCCAAUUUCUCCACAUCUUUGCCAAUACUUGUUACUUUCUAUUUUUUAAUAGUAGCCAUCCUAGUGGGUGUGAGGGGUAUCUGAUUGUAGUUUUGACUUUCAUUUUCCUAAUCAUUAGUGAUGUUGAACACCUUGUCAUGUGCUUAUUGGCUUUUGGUAUGUCUUCUUUGGAAAAAUAUGUAUUUGUCAU